Non-coding RNA from Pelobates cultripes (western spadefoot toad), 549 nucleotides. NCBI's taxonomy places the organism in Eukaryota, Metazoa, Chordata, Amphibia, Anura, Pelobatidae. The record is from the annotation of a GenBank genome assembly.
UAUCAGCCAAGCAUGCCAUAUCUCUCACCCCAAGUGCUCACCUCUCUGGCUGUACGAUUAUCCCACAUUGUAGGCUCAGUCACCUGUUCUUCUUCUGGGCCAGGGGCCAAAAUUAAUAUAUUUCCAAGCCCCAGCCCAUUUACUCAUGGUGAACUCUGAACCAGGGAGGACACAUGGACCCAAGGUCAAGCCACAGAGGCUCAGUCACCUGUUCUUCUUCUGGGCCAGGUGCCAAAUUGGAUCUAUUUCCAAGCCACAGACCAUGUACUCAUGGUGGACUCUGAACCAGGGAGGACACAUAGACCCAAGGUAAAGCCACAGAGGAUAGGAGGAUCUAUGGCCUUAUUGGAGCAGCUCCCAUUGAGGACUGGGGCCGAGGUUACGGGAGCCUGAAACUAUGGGCUUUACAACCCACUCAUCAGCCGUGACUUCAGUGGAGCCUAGCCCUUCUGAUGACUACACAAGGGAGCAAAGCAUCUAAUGUUCGCAGUACAAAAAGCAGCGGGAGUUCCAGCACUGCUUAAUGAGUUUCGAGGCAGAAAAACCGGC